GGCAUGUAUACUUUAGUCUUCAUUUAAUUUUAUCUUAGUUAAGAAAUUAUUAAAUUAAAAUAUUUCAUAUGUUAUUUAUGAUUGCUAAUGGGCUAUUAAUGUUUAAAUGAACUCUAGUGUUCCGUCACUUGUGGUAAUGGAACUCAGAGCCGCGUAGUCUUAUGUUUGUCUUCGGAACAAGAUACUUGGAAAAUCAUUCCAGAUAUUCAUUGUGAUUCUUUGAACAAACCAAAGACAGAGCAGCCCUGUCAGAUCCAAUUAUGUACAGAUGAAUGGUACACUAGUGAAUGGACAGAGUGCUCUAAACCUUGUGACACGGGAGUACAGACGAGAGAAAUAACGUGCAUCAAUAACGAACAAUGUGUCAGUAUGAAUUGCGAAGAAAAAAAUAAACCGCCAAUUCGACAAGCAUGCAACACAAAUGAAUGUCCCGAAGUCAAACAAGAUUCUGGAUGUGUGGAUAAAUUCCGCAACUGCAACCUCGUUGUUCAAGCCAGAUUAUGUAGUUAUACUUACUAUCGGAAUAUAUGUUGUGACAGCUGCUAUCCCUUCAAGUAGUGAAUGAUAACAGCUGUCCGAAAUGUCUCCCGCGAUUAUCUUCAAGAUUCGUGUGAAAGAUGUAAGCGUUAAUUAGUUAGAGUUGAUUCGAAAGACAAAGAUUAAGAUUCGAAUUGUUAAGCAUCAGAAAAGAAAACGAAGCGUCUGAAUAGUGCGUAAAAUGUGAUCAGACAUUUUAAGUAUGGAUUAUCUCGCAUUUCUGCAGUAAAAUAGAAUUUUCUUUCGGUUUCUUAUUAUGGAUUAGGCACAAAAAACGAUAAUUUUAAUCUCUAAAAUCGAACUGAAUUUAAUUAUUAGGAAAAAUUAAAGGUGUGAAUUUUAAAAUUUGUUGUUCUUUUAUUUUUUGUUCGAAAGCUUAGGCUUAUAAAUCUGUGAAUACUUAACGCUUAAGCAAAAUCUUGUGUCCGACGAUAUUUUCUCUUUAGAAACGUGUAGGUGCUGUAUACUGUAUGUACACGUAUGAAUGGUGCCAGCAAAGAAAGGUUUCGUUGGGGAUGGAUCGACUAAAUUAUAUAAAACGAUUCGUCGAUACUUUGAAAUAAAAUGCAACAAAUCAAACACGAAAUACGCUGCUGGAUGUGAAAAUAGAAUAAAUUUACACAUAUCUAUAUUUAUUAGAAUAUUGUAUGUGAAAGGGACGUGUUAGGACCCGAGGUUGCUGGCUCCGAUUGUAUUCGUCGAAUCAGAGUGAGAAUAAAUUUAAGCAAUAAAAGAGAAAUAUAUUGUUAAAUUAGAAAAUAUAUAUUUAUAUUUUUAGAAUAGUUUAUCAGAAAAAUUAAAUAGUGUUAAUAAUAGAAAAUUAUUUAAUCUUACUGCAAAUAGACGCAUUGAUGCAACGUUAUCCGCAAGAUAUUGUAAAGAAAGAUAGGCUUAGGCCUAUAUAUAUAUUGUAAUUAUUAUGCAAUGCUAAGAGUCAGAGUUAUUUUAAUGUAAAUAAAAUUUCGUAAUAAAAAUAAUUUUGCCAUUUUCGAUUUUGUU
Centruroides sculpturatus (bark scorpion) is the source of this 1536-nucleotide long non-coding RNA. RefSeq lists it as uncharacterized. The record is from RefSeq and is a predicted model, not a curated record. Lineage: Eukaryota; Metazoa; Arthropoda; Arachnida; Scorpiones; Buthidae. The transcript has 3 exons.